RNAcentral lists this unclassified non-coding RNA (344 nucleotides) under Zanthoxylum asiaticum. RNAcentral describes it as "partial external transcribed spacer". The record is from RNAcentral. Lineage: Eukaryota; Viridiplantae; Streptophyta; Magnoliopsida; Sapindales; Rutaceae.
GGUAUCCUGUGUUGCUUACCCAUGAAAAGGAAUUCGAUGGUUUUGUUGUCCCCAUCCGCCUUGAGCCUUUAGGGGCGUGGGGCGGACUCGAGGCGGGCUCCGUGUUCCCCGCGUGUCGAGUGCGUUGACGCUCGGCCGCUGCGGCCCACGGGGUCUCGGCCCGUGCUCUCGGAUGCGGAAUGCUGUGUGUGGGCGUGGGGGGUUUCGGCUCGUUCUCGUCCAAGCCACACUGGUUGUCCCUUGACAUGAACGACCGCGGCGUCCGUCUUGAUCGGCCGACCGAGCUCCCUUUGCGGGGUUCCGGGAGGGCGGCUCAUGCGGGCGCUUGCGUCGGAGAGGAAUGC